This 253-nucleotide ribosomal RNA is filed under the name uncultured bacterium. Its description in RNAcentral is "partial 16S ribosomal RNA". It matches the Rfam family "Bacterial small subunit ribosomal RNA", at positions 524 to 776 of the family's 1533-position model. The record is from RNAcentral.
UACAGAGGGUGCGAGCGUUGUUCGGAAUUAUUGGGCGUAAAGAGCUUGUAGGUGGUUUGUCGUGUCUGCUGUGAAAAUCCGAGGCUCAACCUCGGACUUGCAGCGGGUACGGGCAGACUAGAGUGUGGUAGGGGAGACUGGAAUUCCUGGUGUAGCGGUGAAAUGCGCAGAUAUCAGGAGGAACACCGGUGGCGAAGGCGGGUCUCUGGGCCGAUACUGACGCUGAGGAGCGAAAGCGUGGGGAGCGAACAGG